GCCCCUGUAGUGUAGUCCGGCCAAUCACGCCGCCCUCUCACGGCGGCAACCCGGGUUCAAAUCCCGGCGGGGGCA
Molecule: transfer RNA, 75 nt
Filed under: Candidatus Woesearchaeota archaeon
Lineage: Archaea; Nanobdellati; Candidatus Woesearchaeota
Description: tRNA-Glu
Rfam family: tRNA
About the family: Transfer RNA (tRNA) molecules are approximately 80 nucleotides in length. Their secondary structure includes four short double-helical elements and three loops (D, anti-codon, and T loops).
Source: RNAcentral